RNAcentral lists this long non-coding RNA (254 nucleotides) under Phoenix dactylifera (date palm). Its description in RNAcentral is "long non-coding RNA (PDAC_LNC007311)". Lineage: Eukaryota; Viridiplantae; Streptophyta; Magnoliopsida; Arecales; Arecaceae. The record is from RNAcentral.
AUCACCGUCCUCGUGAUGAUCCUUUGAUCAGGAGCAUUUAGAAAUUAAUCACCAAUGAUACAUGGCUCAAAUUCUCAACUCUUGAGAAUAUGUAUCAUCAUCUUAUUAAUUUCUUGGACGAUUCAUAGACACAUAAACAAUAUGAAUGAAAGGAUGCCUUUUAUUUAUUCAAUAAUAAAUAGUCAAGUACAAAAUUAUGUCCCUAGAAUCAACAAUGUGUCAGCCAAAUUGGCUUCUAGGGCAUACAUCUAACA